RNAcentral lists this unclassified non-coding RNA (375 nucleotides) under soil metagenome. Its description in RNAcentral is "partial contains 5.8S ribosomal RNA, internal transcribed spacer 2, and large subunit ribosomal RNA". The stretch from base 1 to 120 matches the Rfam family "5.8S ribosomal RNA", at positions 35 to 154 of the family's 154-position model. The record is from RNAcentral.
GAUGAAGAACGUAGCGAAAUGCGAUAAGUAAUGUGAAUUGCAGAAUUCAGUGAAUCAUCGAAUCUUUGAACGCACAUUACGCCCGCCAGUAUUCUGGCGGGCAUGCCUGUUCGAGCGUCAUUUCAACCCUCAAGACCCCUUCGGGGGACUUGGUGUUGGGGACCGGCACAGGGGCCUGCCUGCUUGUCUUGCAGCGCCCUCGCCGCCCCCGAAAUGAAUUGGCGGCCUCGUCGCGGCCUCCCCUGCGUAGUAGCACAACCUCGCAACGGGAACGUGACGGCGGCCACUGCCGUAAAACAACCCCAAUUUUAUUAGAGUUGACCUCGAAUCAGGUAGGAAUACCCGCUGAACUUAAGCAUAUCAAUAAGCGGAGGA